UCCUUUCCUAAGAAAUCAGCAGAUUCACAAACAGGACCCACCACAUCAAAAGUUGAAAUGUCAGCAUUAGUUGGUGCGGGAGAAACAAGCUCAAUGUGUUGAUAUGCAUCAUAAAGACUAGGACGAAUAAGUUCAGCCAUGCUACCAUCAAUCACGAUAAAGUUUUUAGUUCCAUUAGUUUUCACCCCAGUGACCCUGUUGACCAGGCAGCAGGUAUUUGCGAUUAGAGAUCUCCCUGGUUCAAUGAUGAGAUUUAGAUUCCGUGAGAGUACCAAUUCUCGAACAGUAUUGAUGAGAUCUCUUGGUGAAGGAAGGAUAGCACCAGUAUGAUAAUAAUCUAUGCCCAAACCACCUCCAAUGUUUAGGUAAUCAACUUCAAAACCUUGAGCUCGGAUUUGGUCAAUGUAGCUGACCAUAAGAACUGCAGCAUCCCUGAAAAUGUCUACCUUAGUAAUGGUUGAGCCAAGAUGGCAAUGGGCCCCCACAAGCUUCAGCUCAUUAGGGUGUGCCUUUACAGCAUCCAGAAACCAUUGCAGCUUCUCAUUUCUAAUGCCAAAUUUAGAGUUCUUAUUCCCAGUUGCAACAUAAGGAUGAACCUGAGGGUCCACAUCUGGAUUGAUUCGAAGUAAAACAUUAACCUUUUUGCCAGCAAUUCUAGCAGCUGCUACAAUAUUCUCUAAAUCAAAUUCACUAUCCACAUUAACAAAGACACCUUCUUGGGCAGCUAACACCAAAUCCUCCAGCAGCUUCCCAUUUCCAUUAAAAAUGCACCUUGCGGGAUCGAAUCCAGCAUGAAGAGCCAACCUGAGCUCAUUGCCACUAACCAGCACAGCUCCACAACCCAAUUGCCUCAAGUGCUCCAAAAUCUUCAAAUUAUUAUUAGCCUUAAUUGCAUACCCAAUAAUGGAUCUCAAUCCCUCUAAAGCAUCUCUGUAAGCCUCAAAAUUCCGAGUAAUCUGAGGCUUACUGUACAAAUAAAAGGGUCUUUUCUCCACAUUCUCCAUGAUAUCCUGCACCUUGAGUUUCUCACAAUAGAGGAAGCCAUCAGGAGAUUUUGCGAAACAAUGCUUAAACGGCGCAGUUUCUUUGGUUACGCUAUUAGCAGGGUUCUGGGACAAAACUGCUUUGAGAGACAGAGACUUUACAAAGGAUUUGUUGCUUCUAACGGUUAAAAGAGGAGUUUUAAGAAAU
RNAcentral lists this unclassified non-coding RNA (1191 nucleotides) under Hevea brasiliensis (rubber tree). Lineage: Eukaryota; Viridiplantae; Streptophyta; Magnoliopsida; Malpighiales; Euphorbiaceae. The record is from RNAcentral.